GAUUAUGGCUCAGGAUGAACGCUAGCUACAGGCUUAACACAUGCAAGUCGAGGGCAGCAGGAUCUAGCUGCUAAGAUUGCUGGCAACCGGCGCACGGGUGAGUAACGCGUAUCCAACCUUCCCCUUAGUAGGGCAUAGCCCGAUGAAAAAUCGGAUUAAUACCCUAUGUUUUCCAAUGAGGACAUCUGAGCUGGAACAAAGAUUCAUCGCUAAGGGAUGGGGGAUGCGUCCGAUUAGGUAGUCGGCGGGGUAACGGCCCACCGAGCCAUCGAUCGGUAGGGGUUCUGAGAGGAAGGUCCCCCACAUUGGAACUGAGACACGGUCCAAACUCCUACGGGAGGCAGCAGUGAGGAAUAUUGGUCAAUGGGCGAGAGCCUGAACCAGCCAAGUAGCGUGCAGGAUGACGGCCCUAUGGGUUGUAAACUGCUUUUAUGCGGGGAUAAAGUUCGCCACGUGUGGCGUUUUGUAGGUACCGCAUGAAUAAGGACCGGCUAAUUCCGUGCCAGCCGCAGC
Molecule: ribosomal RNA, 513 nt
Filed under: uncultured bacterium
Lineage: Bacteria
Description: bacterial SSU rRNA
Rfam family: Bacterial small subunit ribosomal RNA
Source: RNAcentral